ACUCCUACGGGAGGCAGCAGUGAGGAAUAUUGGACAAUGGGUGGAAGCCUGAUCCAGCCAUCCCGCGUGCAGGAAGACGGCCCUAUGGGUUGUAAACUGCUUUUAUCUGGGGAUAAACCUACUUACGUGUAAGUAGCUGAAGGUACCAGAAGAAUAAGCACCGGCUAACUCCGUGCCAGCAGCCGCGGUAAUACGGAGGGUGCAAGCGUUAUCCGGAUUUAUUGGGUUUAAAGGGUCCGUAGGCGGACUGAUAAGUCAGUGGUGAAAUCCGACAGCUUAACUGUCGAACUGCCAUUGAUACUGUUAGUCUUGAGUAAGGUUGAAGUGGCUGGAAUAAGUAGUGUAGCGGUGAAAUGCAUAGAUAUUACUUAGAACACCAAUUGCGAAGGCAGGUCACUAAGUCUUAACUGACGCUGAUGGACGAAAGCGUGGGGAGCGAACAGGAUUAGAAACCCCAGUAGUCCCAUGAU
Molecule: ribosomal RNA, 470 nt
Filed under: uncultured organism
Description: partial 16S ribosomal RNA
Rfam family: Bacterial small subunit ribosomal RNA
Source: RNAcentral